RNAcentral lists this ribosomal RNA (251 nucleotides) under uncultured prokaryote. RNAcentral describes it as "partial 16S ribosomal RNA". It matches the Rfam family "Bacterial small subunit ribosomal RNA", at positions 525 to 775 of the family's 1533-position model. The record is from RNAcentral.
ACGUAGGGUGCGAGCGUUAAUCGGAAUUACUGGGCGUAAAGCGUGCGCAGGCGGUUCGCUAAGACAGGUGUGAAAUCCCCGGGCUUAACCUGGGAAUGGCGUUUGAGACUGGUGAGCUGGAGUACGGUAGAGGGGGGUGGAAUUUCAGGUGUAGCGGUGAAAUGCGUAGAGAUCUGGAGGAAUACCAGUGGCGAAGGCAGCCCCCUGGGCAGAUACUGACACUCAUGCGCGAAAGCGUGGGGAGCAAACAG